GGGAUGUGGCUCCAGAAUCUGCCUUUUCAAGAGUGACUACUGGUUGGGAAGCUCCAAUGCAACCGACUCAUUGCUUUGAAGAUUACCGACGUGCACACAGUGAGAGUAAACCAGGAGACACGUGCCGUUCAGGGUUAAGAUCAGAACACAAUGUCAAUUAAAUCCACGUGGGUUCUGAAGAAGUCUUGGGAAGAUGAUCAUUGUCCCUGAAGAUGACCACUGAAGAUCAUUGCUCUCCAGCCUUGCCUCAUGAUUGGAAUCAGCUGGGGAACUCUGUAAAGCAGCUCGCUCCUGGCUUUGUCUCCUAGAACAGUGGUUCCCAGCUUCAUCCGCCCCCUGGGAUCACCUAGGGAACGUUUAGCAAUCCAGACAUACAGGCCACACUGCAGACUGAAUCAAAAUCUCUAGGACUCAGGUGUGAGUAUUUUUUUGAAGCUCCCCUGUGAUUUCAAUGUGCAGUCGAGGUUUGAGUGACUGUGCUGGAGACUGAUUCCAGAAGUCAGGGGUGGUGACCAAGAAUCAGUAUUUUUAGGACGAGCUCCAGAUGAUUCUUGUGAACACAAAGUUUGGAAGUUACUAAAUUUGAUAUAUAGGGAUCUAUUUCAAAUUAUUUAAAGAACCAUCUACAUUUGACUUCAUACUAAACGGUGCAAAAAGUUGUUCCCAGUGUUUUGGGGACCCAAGAGGAGACGAGCCAUGGGAGUGCCAGGUGCCUGACAACAAUUCCCGGCUGUGUGUUGGACUUGGAAAUGCUCAAAGAAAACUAGUGACACAGAAUCAUUACCUGCAAAGAGCUGAAAUGGUGAACUUGGAAGUAGGGUGUGGAGACCUACAGAGUCGAGCUGUCACUUUGGUGGCUUUCCCAUCAUAUGGGUCUCUCUAAUGUCUGAAAAAGAUCACACGACUUUUCCCAACGUUAUAAACCUUCUUCUGUGAUUUAUUUCUCAGUUUAUGGACUGGUU
RNAcentral lists this long non-coding RNA (962 nucleotides) under Equus asinus (donkey). RNAcentral describes it as "lncRNA (ENSEASG00005027865.1)". Lineage: Eukaryota; Metazoa; Chordata; Mammalia; Perissodactyla; Equidae. The record is from RNAcentral.